GGAGGGAUGCCCGAGUGGUUAAAGGGGGCGGACUGUAAAUCCGUUGGUUUAUCCUACGUCGGUUCAAAUCCGACUCCCUCCACCA
Molecule: transfer RNA, 85 nt
Filed under: Candidatus Liberibacter africanus
Lineage: Bacteria; Pseudomonadati; Pseudomonadota; Alphaproteobacteria; Hyphomicrobiales; Rhizobiaceae
Also listed under: 9 other names
Description: tRNA-Tyr
Rfam family: tRNA
About the family: Transfer RNA (tRNA) molecules are approximately 80 nucleotides in length.
Source: RNAcentral